Molecule: ribosomal RNA, 209 nt
Filed under: uncultured bacterium
Lineage: Bacteria
Description: partial 16S ribosomal RNA
Rfam family: Bacterial small subunit ribosomal RNA
Source: RNAcentral
UACGUAGGGUGCAAGCGUUGUCCGGAAUUAUUGGGCGUAAAGAGCUCGUAGGCGGUCUGUCGCGUCUGCUGUGAAAACUCAGGGCUUAACCCUGAGCUUGCAGUGGGUACGGGCAGACUAGAGUGCGGUAGGGGAGACUGGAAUUCCUGGUGUAGCGGUGAAAUGCGCAGAUAUCAGGAGGAACACCGGUGGGCGAAGGCGGGUCUGCU